RNAcentral lists this ribosomal RNA (431 nucleotides) under uncultured Paracoccus sp. RNAcentral describes it as "bacterial SSU rRNA". It matches the Rfam family "Bacterial small subunit ribosomal RNA", at positions 29 to 505 of the family's 1533-position model. Lineage: Bacteria; Pseudomonadati; Pseudomonadota; Alphaproteobacteria; Rhodobacterales; Paracoccaceae. The record is from RNAcentral.
AACGAACGCUGGCGGCAGGCUUAACACAUGCAAGUCGAGCGAGAUCUUCGGAUCUAGCGGCGGACGGGUGAGUAACGCGUGGGAACGUGCCCUUUGCUACGGAAUAGUCCCGGGAAACUGGGUUUAAUACCGUAUGUGCCCUACGGGGGAAAGAUUUAUCGGCAAAGGAUCGGCCCGCGUUGGAUUAGGUAGUUGGUGGGGUAAUGGCCUACCAAGCCGACGAUCCAUAGCUGGUUUGAGAGGAUGAUCAGCCACACUGGGACUGAGACACGGCCCAGACUCCUACGGGAGGCAGCAGUGGGGAAUCUUAGACAAUGGGGGCAACCCUGAUCUAGCCAUGCCGCGUGAGUGAUGAAGGCCUUAGGGUUGUAAAGCUCUUUCAGCUGGGAAGAUAAUGACGGUACCAGCAGAAGAAGCCCCGGCUAACUCCG